GACGAACGCUGGCGGCGUGCUUAACACAUGCAAGUCGAACGAUGAAGAAAAGAAUCGAAGCUUCGGCAGAAAUUCAUUUCGGAUUAGUGGCAGACGGGUGAGUAACGCGUGAGCAACCUACCUCUUACAAAGGGAUAGCCUCGGGAAACCGGGAUUAAUACCAUAUAACAUUGCGACGAAGCAUUUCGAUGCAAUCAAAGCUAUGGCGGUAAGAGAUGGGCUCGCGUCCCAUUAACCGGAUGGUGAGGUAACGGCUCACCAUAGUGACGAUGGGUAACCGGGCUGAGAGGGGGAACGGUCACACUGGAACUGAGACACGGUCCAGACUCCUACGGGAGGCAGCAGUGGGGAAUAUUGCACAAUGGAGGGAACUCUGAUGCAGCGACGCCGCGUGAGUGAUGAAGGAAUUCGUUUCGUAAAACUCCGUUCUAUGGGAAGAAAAGGACUGUACCAUAGGAGAAAGCUCCGGCUAAAUACGUG
Molecule: ribosomal RNA, 480 nt
Filed under: uncultured bacterium
Lineage: Bacteria
Description: partial 16S ribosomal RNA
Rfam family: Bacterial small subunit ribosomal RNA
Source: RNAcentral